Molecule: long non-coding RNA, 735 nt
Organism: Anolis sagrei ordinatus
Lineage: Eukaryota; Metazoa; Chordata; Lepidosauria; Squamata; Anolidae
Source: RefSeq, a predicted model, not a curated record
CAGCUGGAUAGAUAGUUCUGACAAAACCUGGAAGUCUGCUAGUACCUAGAAGAGCUCCAUAGGAAGUUACCAUGGAAACUGACAUUUUCUUUGCAACAUGUUUGAUCGGAAAAGGACAUGGAGUACUUGAUUUCUCUAGUGUCAUCUUUCUGGAAUGUCCCUCAUUGAGAGAUCAAACCUGGUGACCUUAGGGGGAAAACACUAUCUUCUUUGUUGGUGUUCUACAAAUGAAAUCAUGAGCCCUGUUGCAGGCUGUUGAGGAGGAUGUCUUUAAAAGUUACACGUGGAGUGAAGAGAGGGAGACAGCUGUUAUAGGGCGAAGGAUCCCAGAAAGGCUGUUUUCUUAAGCCCUUGCCUUAAUCUAAGUAUCCUUGAAAGACAGAAAGGAUCACAGAAAAGGUUGUUUCUUUAGUCCAAUGCUGGAAAGGGAAGACUCGUAAGUUCCCCAUUGCUGCCAAUGGACCAUAUCUUCCCAGAUGUUUCAGUUGCCAAGCCAAAAGUGACUUUUUUUCCCCAUUAGCUGAUUUCAGGAGACUUCUGAAAACAUAUCCAGGUUCUUUCAACCGUAACUAGGAUUGUACAACUGUGGAGCUGUCUGCAUUUGUCUUGAGCACCGAGAGCAUAAAUCACAGCACCACCAGUCUUUGGCAGUCAAUCGAGGAGAAAACACUGUCUGAAUCCAAGCUGUCUUCUUUAACAAUCUCUGAGACUGAUGAUUGAUAAAGAAGCCCUGUA